UGAAUACGAGACGCUAAGGCGUCGAAGUAGUGUAUGUCAUACUUCCAAGAAAAGCUUGCACUGUCAUAGAUAAAAAACGCCUGUACCAUAACCGACACAGGUGGGUAGGUAGAGUAUACUAAGGGGCGCGAGAUAACUCUCUCUAAGGAACUCGGCAAAAUAACUCCGUAACUUCGGGAGAAGGAGUGCCUUAUUCGUAAGGUUGCAAUAACAAGAUCCAAGCAACUGUUUAUCAAAAACACAGGUCUCCGCUAAGUCGUAAGACGAUGUAUGGGGGCUGACGCCUGCCCAGUGCCAGAAGGUUAAAGAAGUUGGUUAGCAAUUGCGAAGCUGAUAACUGAAGCCCUGGUGAACGGCGGCCGUAACAAUAACGGUCCUAAGGUAGCGAAAUUCCUUGUCGGGUAAGUUCCGACCCGCACGAAAGGCGUAAUGAUUUGGAUACUGUCUCGGAGAGGGGCUCGGUGAAAUAGACUUGUCUGUGAAGAUGCGGACUACCUGCACCAGGACAGAAAGACCCUAUGAAGCUUUACUGUAACUUGAAAUUGAAAUUGGACUUUAUUCGCGCAGUAUAGGUGGGAGGCGUUGAUUAUAAUCUUGUGGGAUUAUUGGAGCCAUCAGUGAGAUACCACUCUUGUAAUGUUAGAUUUCUAACUUUGAAUCAUUAUCUGGUCAAAGAACAGUUUCAGGCGGGCAGUUUGACUGGGGCGGUCGCCUCCUAAACGGUAACGGAGGCGUACAAGGGUUUCCUCUGAACGGUUAGAAAUCGUAUCUAGAGUGUAAAGGCAUAAGGAAGCUUGACUGUGAGACCUACAAGUCGAGCAGGGACGAAAGUCGGUCUUAGUGAUCUGACGGUACUGAGUGGAAAGGCCGUCACUCAACGGAUAAAAGUUACUCUAAGGAUAACAGGCUGAUCUCCCCCAAGAGUUCACAUCGACGGGGAGGUUUGGCACCUCGAUGUCGGCUCAUCGCAUCCUGGGGCGGUAGUACAUCCCAAGGGUUGGGCUGUUCGCCCAUGAAAGCGGUACGCGAGCUGGGUUCAGAACGUCGUGAGACAGUUCGGUCCAUAUCCGGUGUAGGCGUUAGAAUAUUGAGAGGAGCCUUCUUUAGUACGAGAGGACCGAGAAGGACAUACCUCUGGUGUACCAGUUAUCGUGCCAACGGUAAACGCUGGGUAGCUAUGUAUGGAGUGGAUAACCGCUGAAAGCAUCUAAGUGGGAAGCCCACCUCAAGAUAAGUAUUCUCAU
RNAcentral lists this ribosomal RNA (1244 nucleotides) under metagenome. Its description in RNAcentral is "bacterial LSU rRNA". It matches the Rfam family "Bacterial large subunit ribosomal RNA", at positions 1564 to 2817 of the family's 2925-position model. The record is from RNAcentral.